UUCGGAAAAGGCAAAUCCCGUGGAAACGGGAGACGCAAAGCCACGGAUCCUGGAAAUAUGUCAGGAUGGCCGGGUUGCAGAAG
This 83-nucleotide non-coding RNA is filed under the name Candidatus Schekmaniibacteriota. RNAcentral's name for it is "Candidatus Schekmanbacteria c-di-GMP sequence". It matches the Rfam family "c-di-GMP-I-GGC riboswitch aptamer". The record is from RNAcentral.